This 753-nucleotide ribosomal RNA is filed under the name Triticum aestivum (bread wheat). RNAcentral's name for it is "partial small subunit ribosomal RNA". Lineage: Eukaryota; Viridiplantae; Streptophyta; Magnoliopsida; Poales; Poaceae. The record is from RNAcentral.
AUGGGUGGGUGCUGCUGCUGUUUCCCCUCCAAACCCCCAAGGGAGAACCCAAUGCACCCAAUCGCAGAGCCGCUCAUCAAGCGGAAGCCCAAUCACACCCCUCCCUACCAUCAAAGGCCCCCGGUGACCACCCAUGCUCACAAGGGUAUGAACGCUGUCGUGCGCCUGAAGACCGGCUUCGAGCGUUUCAGAACGAAUGUGUACAACAAGAACCCGAAGCUUUUUGAAUCACUUAGGAAGGACCAGUCCCCCAAGUACAUGGUGUUUGCAUGUGCUGACUCGCGUGUGUCUCCAACAAUAACCCUCGGACUGAAUCCAGGAGAGGCCUUCACUGUUCGAAAUAUUGCUGGAAUGGUUCCUGCCUAUCAAAAGACAAGGCACUGCAGCGUCGGGUCAGCCAUCGAGUUUGCCGUGGUUGUCCUCAAGGUUGAGUGCAUUGUUGUGAUUGGUCACAGCCGCUGUGGUGGAAUUAGGGAACUACUCUCACUGAAGGACGAAGGGCCUAACGCCUACCACUUCAUUGAGGACUGGGUGAAGAUCGGUAUGGAGGCCAAGAAGAAGGUCCAGAGAGAAAACAGGUUGUUGCCUUUUGACGACCAAUGCACCGUGCUGGAAAAGGAGGCCGUCAAAUUUUCCCUUAGAAAUUUGAAGUCGUACCCGUUCGUCAAGGACAGACUGAACAAGGGCACACUGAAUUUGAUUGGUGCCCGCUAUGACUUUGUCCACGGAAGCUUCGAAACGUGGAAUGCCUGA